UACGGAGGAUGCAAGCGUUAUCCGGAUUUAUUGGGUUUAAAGGGUGCGCAGGUUGUUUGAUAAGUCAGUGGUGAAAGUCUGUCGCUUAACGGUAGGAUUGCCAUUGAUACUGUUAGACUUGAAUAUGGAUGAGGUAGGCGGAAUGUGUAGUGUAGCGGUGAAAUGCAUAGAUGUUACACAGAACACCGAUUGCGAAGGCAGCUUACUAAUCCAUCAUUGACGCUGAGGCACGAAAGCGUGGGGAUCAAACA
RNAcentral lists this ribosomal RNA (251 nucleotides) under uncultured prokaryote. Its description in RNAcentral is "partial 16S ribosomal RNA". It matches the Rfam family "Bacterial small subunit ribosomal RNA", at positions 524 to 774 of the family's 1533-position model. The record is from RNAcentral.